UACAGAGGGGGCGAGCGUUGUUCGGAAUUACUGGGCGUAAAGGGCGCGUAGGCGGCCACGCACGUCCGUUGUGAAAUCGCCCGGCUCAACUGGGCGGGGUCAGCGGAUACGGUGUGGCUCGAGCAAGCUAGGGGGCAAUGGAAUUCCCGGUGUAGUGGUGGAAUGCGUAGAUAUCGGGAGGAACACCAGUGGCGAAGGCGGUUGCCUGGAGCUUUGCUGACGCUGAGGCGCGAAAGCGUGGGGAGCGAUCCGG
RNAcentral lists this ribosomal RNA (253 nucleotides) under uncultured bacterium. RNAcentral's name for it is "partial 16S ribosomal RNA". It matches the Rfam family "Bacterial small subunit ribosomal RNA", at positions 524 to 776 of the family's 1533-position model. The record is from RNAcentral.